CCGUGCUAGGCGGGGGGCCAGGGGUCCCCUGUACCGGAAACCCUCUUUAUGCCGGGCUGAGUACUCGCUUGCGGCCUUUGCGCGACCGGGCAGCCCCCGGAAAGCAGUGUUGAUGGUCGGGUCCUGCGCGACUCGGAACCGUGAACCCGGUCAGACCCGGAAGGGAGCAGCCGUAAGCGGCCCUCCGGGAGUGCCGCAGGGGUUCCCGGCCGGAGCCGGCUACCGGAACAGCGCCGGCGGCGUGGAGGUCCAGAGCGAGCUGCACGG
Molecule: signal recognition particle RNA, 267 nt
Filed under: Actinomycetota bacterium
Lineage: Bacteria; Bacillati; Actinomycetota
Description: signal recognition particle sRNA large type
Rfam family: Bacterial large signal recognition particle RNA
About the family: The signal recognition particle (SRP) is a universally conserved ribonucleoprotein involved in the co-translational targeting of proteins to membranes.
Source: RNAcentral